This 233-nucleotide ribosomal RNA is filed under the name uncultured bacterium. RNAcentral describes it as "partial 16S ribosomal RNA". It matches the Rfam family "Bacterial small subunit ribosomal RNA", at positions 103 to 334 of the family's 1533-position model. The record is from RNAcentral.
CGGGUGAGUAACACGUAUCCAACCUGCCGUCUACUCUUGGCCAGCCUUCUGAAAGGAAGAUUAAUCCAGGAUGGCAUCAUGAGUUCACAUGUCCGCAUGAUUAAAGGUAUUUUCCGGUAGACGAUGGGGAUGCGUUCCAUUAGAUAGUAGGCGGGGUAGCGGCCCACCUAGUCUUCGAUGGAUAGGGGUUCUGAGAGGAAGGUCCCCCACAUUGGAACUGAGACACGGUCCAA